AAUCACGAGUUCUAACCACACAAGCCCUGGCUGGUUGGACGGCAACCCUAUUCGCGUCAUUGUGCGGGGUGCUCCAGGUGAUGAUUCGACGGACCUGAAAGACAGAUUCGUAAGCGAUGGCG
This 122-nucleotide non-coding RNA is filed under the name Arthrobacter sp. RNAcentral describes it as "SAM-IV sequence". It matches the Rfam family "SAM (S-adenosyl methionine) riboswitch aptamer". Rfam says of the family: SAM-IV is a mRNA element that regulates gene expression via direct sensing of S-adenosylmethionine (SAM or AdoMet). The record is from RNAcentral. Lineage: Bacteria; Bacillati; Actinomycetota; Actinomycetes; Micrococcales; Micrococcaceae.